Molecule: ribosomal RNA, 253 nt
Filed under: uncultured bacterium
Lineage: Bacteria
Description: partial 16S ribosomal RNA
Rfam family: Archaeal small subunit ribosomal RNA
Source: RNAcentral
UACCAGCACCCCGAGUGGUCGUGACGGUUAUUGGGCCUAAAGCAUCCGUAGCCGGUCCUGCAAGUCUUCCGUUAAAUCCAGCUGCUCAACAGAUGGGCUGCGGAGGAUACUACAGGGCUAGGAGGCGGGAGAGGCAAGCGGUACUUUAUGGGUAGGGGUAAAAUCCGUUGAUCCAUAGAAGACCACCAGUGGCGAAGGCGGCUUGCCAGAACGCGAUCGACGGUGAGGGAUGAAAGCUGGGGGAGCAAACAGG